UACCAGCCCUCCGAGUGGUAGGGAUGAUUAUUGGGCUUAAAGCGUCCGUAGCCGGCUUAGCAAGUUUCCUGUUAAAUUCAGCGACCUAAUCGUUGAGCCGCGGGAAAUACUACUAGGCUAGGAGGCGGGAGAGGUCGACGGUACUUCUGGGGUAGGGGUGAAAUCCUAUAAUCCCGGGAGGACCACCAGUGGCGAAGGCUGUCGACUAGAACGCGCUCGACGGUGAGGGACGAAAGCUGGGGGAGCGAACCGGAUUAGAUACCCGGGUAGUCCCAGCUGUAAACGAUGCGGGCUAGGUGUUGGGGUGGCUACGUGCCACUUCAGUGCCGCAGGGAAGCCAUUAAGCCCGCCGCCUGGGGAGUACGGCCGCAAGGCUGAAACUUAAAGGAAUUGGCGGGGGAGCACCACAAGGCGUGAAGCUUGCGGUUC
Molecule: ribosomal RNA, 429 nt
Filed under: uncultured archaeon
Lineage: Archaea
Description: bacterial SSU rRNA
Rfam family: Archaeal small subunit ribosomal RNA
Source: RNAcentral